GGGGCUGUGUCUCAGUGGUUGAGAAUCUGCUUUACAUGCAGAAGGUCCCAGAUUCAAUUCCUGGCAACUCCA
This is a non-coding RNA of Euleptes europaea (tarantolino), 72 nucleotides long. NCBI's taxonomy places the organism in Eukaryota, Metazoa, Chordata, Lepidosauria, Squamata, Sphaerodactylidae. The record is from the annotation of a RefSeq genome assembly.